AAUCUUCAAAACCCCUUUUUUAUUUUAUUUUAAAAAAGGAUUUUUGGACUUGGAGGUUCAAUGCUCGCUUUUGCCUUUGAAAGUGAGCUCCUCCCAAAUAAAUCAGUGGGGUCCGCUUUGCUGAUCCUUGACGUGAUAAGAUGCUUCUACGUUUUGGAUUUGGCACUGUACCUUGGAUGCCUGCUCCUAACUGUCCUCACGGACAAUGAUGGUGCUCUGGUCGCCGUCCUUUACAUUGGCGGAAGGCUGGACCCACAAAUGAAAAC
This 266-nucleotide unclassified non-coding RNA is filed under the name uncultured Russula. RNAcentral describes it as "sequence contains ITS2". Lineage: Eukaryota; Fungi; Basidiomycota; Agaricomycetes; Russulales; Russulaceae. The record is from RNAcentral.